RNAcentral lists this transfer RNA (68 nucleotides) under Crithagra burtoni (thick-billed seedeater). RNAcentral's name for it is "tRNA-Lys". The record is from RNAcentral. Lineage: Eukaryota; Metazoa; Chordata; Aves; Passeriformes; Fringillidae.
AUUAAGAAGCUAUGAACCAGCAUUAGCCUUUUAAGCUAAAGAAAGAGGGAUACACCCCUCCUUAAUGA